GCCUACGGGUGGCAGCAGUCGGGAAUUUUGCGCAAUGGGCGAAAGCCUGACGCAGCAACGCCGCGUGAGGGAUGAAGGCCUUCGGGUUGUAAACCUCUUUUCUCAGGGACGAUGAUGACGGUACCUGAGGAAUAAGUCACGGCUAACUACGUGCCAGCAGCCGCGGUAAUACGUAGGUGGCUAGCGUUGUCCGGAUUUACUGGGCGUAAAGAGCGCGCAGGCGGUCGUUCAAGUCGAGUGUGAAGGCCCCCGGAUCAACGGGGGAGGGUCACUCGAUACUGAUCGACUUGAAGGCGGGAGAGGGAAGCGGAAUUCCCGGUGUAGUGGUGAAAUGCGUAGAUAUCGGGAGGAACACCAGUGGCGAAGGCGGCUUUCUGGCCCGUUCUUGACGCUGAGGCGCGAAAGCUAGGGUAGCAAACGGGAUUAGAUACCCGUGUAGUC
This 441-nucleotide ribosomal RNA is filed under the name uncultured bacterium. RNAcentral describes it as "bacterial SSU rRNA". It matches the Rfam family "Bacterial small subunit ribosomal RNA", at positions 337 to 795 of the family's 1533-position model. The record is from RNAcentral.